UACAGGGGGGGCUAGCGUUGCUCGGAAUCACUGGGCGUAAAGGGUGCGUAGGCGGGUCUUUAAGUCAGGGGUGAAAUCCUGGAGCUCAACUCCAGAACUGCCUUUGAUACUGAAGAUCUUGAGUUCGGGAGAGGUGAGUGGAACUGCGAGUGUAGAGGUGAAAUUCGUAGAUAUUCGCAAGAACACCAGUGGCGAAGGCGGCUCACUGGCCCGAUACUGACGCUGAGGCACGAAAGCGUGGGGAGCAAACAGG
Molecule: ribosomal RNA, 253 nt
Filed under: uncultured bacterium
Lineage: Bacteria
Description: partial 16S ribosomal RNA
Rfam family: Bacterial small subunit ribosomal RNA
Source: RNAcentral